UGCAGCAACGCCGCGUGAGGGAUGACGUGCCUUCGGGUUGUAAACCUCUUUUAGUAGGGAAGAAGCGAAAGUGACGGUACCUGCAGAAAAAGCACCGGCUAACUACGUGCCAGCAGCCGCGGUAAUACGUAGGGUGCAAGCGUUGUCCGGAAUUAUUGGGCGUAAAGAGCUCGUAGGCGGUUUGUCGCGUCUGCUGUGAAAUCCCGAGGCUCAACCUCGGGCUUGCAGUGGGUACGGGCAGACUAGAGUGCGGUAGGGGAGAUUGGAAUUCCUGGUGUAGCGGUGGAAUGCGCAGAUAUCAGGAGGAACACCGAUGGCGAAGGCAGAUCUCUGGGCCGUAACUGACGCUGAGGAGCGAAAGCAUGGGGAGCGAACAGGAUUAGAUACCCUGGUAGUCCAUGCCGUAAACGUUGGGCGCUAGAUGUAGGGACCUUUCCACGGUUUCUGUGUCGUAGCUAACGCAUUAAGCGCCCCGCCUGGGGAGUACGGCCGCAAGGCUAAAACUCAAAGGAAUUGACGGGGGCCCGCACAAGCGGCGGAGCAUGCGGAUUAAUUCGAUGCAACGCGAAGAACCUUACCAAGGCUUGACAUACACCGGAAACGGCCAGAGAUGGUCGCCCCCUUGUG
This 627-nucleotide ribosomal RNA is filed under the name Curtobacterium sp. Ri1Pt_3718. RNAcentral's name for it is "bacterial SSU rRNA". It matches the Rfam family "Bacterial small subunit ribosomal RNA", at positions 387 to 1022 of the family's 1533-position model. The record is from RNAcentral. Lineage: Bacteria; Bacillati; Actinomycetota; Actinomycetes; Micrococcales; Microbacteriaceae.